AACAAAACCACUAGCUUUUUAUUGUCCAACCAACACACAGAAUGUGUGAAACUAAAACAGACAAAACUACGGUGUAUUAAAAAACAGGGGGAUAUGAAGGCAGGGACGAGGCAGAAGGUCAGGUUCAGCGGUGACUGAAGAAGCCUGGAGGUGGGCUAUGAAAUCAGCUGUAAGAUAUAAGAGGUGAAGGGAUAGGGGUUAAGGGGGAGGUCAGCGGUGACUGAAGAAGCCUGGAGGUGGGCUAUGAAAUCAGCUGUAAGAUAUAAGAGGUGAAGGGAUAGGGGUUAAGGGGGAGGUCAGCGGUGACUGAAGAAGCCUGGAGGUGGGCUAUGAAAUCAGCUGUAAGAUAUAAGAGGUGAAGGGAUAGGGGUUAAGGGGGAGGUCAGCGGUGACUGAAGAAGCCCUGGGGGUGGUUGUAC
Oncorhynchus keta (chum salmon) is the source of this 419-nucleotide long non-coding RNA. RefSeq lists it as uncharacterized. NCBI's taxonomy places the organism in Eukaryota, Metazoa, Chordata, Actinopteri, Salmoniformes, Salmonidae. The transcript is spliced from 3 exons. The record is from RefSeq and is a predicted model, not a curated record.